UGGGGAAUUGUUCACAAUGGGCGCAAGCCUGAUGACGCAACGCCGCGUGGGGGAUGAAGGUCUUCGGAUUGUAAACCCCUGUCGAGCGGGACGAAUGGCCCGCGCUUUAACAUGGCGCGGGAAUGAUGGUACCGCUAAAGGAAGCCACGGCUAACUCUGUGCCAGCAGCCGCGGUAAUACAGAGGUGGCAAGCGUUGUUCGGAAUUACUGGGCGUAAAGGGCGCGUAGGCGGCCAUCUAAGUCAGACGUGAAAUCCCCCGGCUUAACCUGGGAACUGCGUCUGAUACUGGAAGGCUCGAGUUUGGGAGAGGGAUGCAGAAUUCCAGGUGUAGCGGUGAAAUGCGUAGAUAUCUGGAGGAAUACCGGUGGCGAAGGCGGCAUCCUGGACUAACACUGACGCUGAGGCGCGAAAGCUAGGGGAGCAAACGG
RNAcentral lists this ribosomal RNA (429 nucleotides) under uncultured bacterium. Its description in RNAcentral is "bacterial SSU rRNA". It matches the Rfam family "Bacterial small subunit ribosomal RNA", at positions 355 to 775 of the family's 1533-position model. The record is from RNAcentral.